This 206-nucleotide ribosomal RNA is filed under the name uncultured bacterium. RNAcentral's name for it is "partial 16S ribosomal RNA". It matches the Rfam family "Bacterial small subunit ribosomal RNA", at positions 29 to 257 of the family's 1533-position model. The record is from RNAcentral.
AACGAACGCUGGCGGCAUGCCUAACACAUGCAAGUCGAACGGGAUCCAGGCUUCGGCCUGGUGAGAGUGGCGGACGGGUGAGUAACGCGUGGGAACCUGCCCAAUGGUCUGGGAUAACCGCGGGAAACUGCGGCUAAUACCGGAUAAGCCCGAGAGGGAAGAUUAUCGCCGAUGGAGGGCCGCGUCAGAUUAGGUAGUUGGUGGGU